GCGCUGAACAGCUCUCCAGGCCGGCCGCGCAGUCCACUCCCACGGUUCCCACGACUCCGGGAGAGACAGCGCAGGUGCUCGCUCCCUAAACACCGCUCCGGCGCACCUCUGCGCUGCGCUGCGCUGCGCUCAGCUCCAAGAGAAGCCCUGGCAGCGGCAUGGAGCCCUCAGAAAAUAUCAAGAACCUGCUGAUGCUAUAUGAGGAGGAAGCCGAGGAAUGGGCUGUGUACCUAAGAGACGUCCUCCUCCAUGUUGUAGAGAUGGAGGCGAUGCUGUUAUAUAGCUUGACCAACUCCUCUGACCGGCAUUUGGACUCGCUGGACUUAAACUCUUAUAAAUGCAAACUACUGAUAUUAUCAAAUAGCCUCCUGAAAGGUCUGACCCCCAGGAAAUGUCGUUUUUUGGACAGGCUGCUCCGUUCACCAGAGAGUGUGGUCAUCCUGCUCUGUGGAGUAAAGAGUUCAGAUGAGCUUUAUGAAUUAUUAACCGUCUCCCGAGGCAGCCGGGAGAUCUCUACUGAGCAGGAGCCGGAAGAUUACAUCUCAGUGAUCAGGAGCGUCAUACAAAGAGGUUCCCAGAAUUACUUUGAAGUUAGCAAUCCACUAGAAAUAGGAAUGGAACUCUAUACAAAAACAAAUAAAACAAGAAAGAUUGAGGCAGCAUCAGAAACUCCUGAAAGCAGUGUGUCAUCAGUACUAGUGCUACCAGCUAAAAUAUCCUGUGAGGAUCCUGGUGACAUAUUCAUUCUUUUGAAAGAUGAAAUAAUUGGUGACAACAUUGAAAUUGAAUUUGCUACAGACAGCAAGUGUGUUAGAACCCAACCACCUCUUUGGAGCAAGACAGUCAGGUGUAUGAAAGCUUUAGAUUUCCCUGCUGGCUCUGUCAAUGUAAAUGUCUACUGUGAUGGAAACAUUAAAGCAACAACGGAGAUUAUAUAUUACACAAUAGAAAAGAAGGUUGAACACCCACUCAAAGAGGUUGAUCCAAGAGAUGUGGUUCAACAGACCUCAUUAGAAGAACUUGAUACUGUUCUCACCUCCAUAUUCAAAGCUGAGAUACCACAUUAUGAUCUUAGAAACCUCCAACAAGAAAUGCACCAUCAAGAAAAUAAACAGCUUCAAGAACUUCCAAGCCUUCUCCAUUGUGCAGCAAAGUUUGGCUUAAAGAAUUUGGCUGUCCAUUUACUUCAGUGUUCAGGUGCAACUUGGGCAUCAAAGGCUAGAAACAUAGAAGGAGCAGACCCUGCACAUAUCGCUGAAAGUCAAGGUCAUGGGGAGCUCAAGAGAAUCUUUGAAGAAUUUUCAAUUCAUGAAGAUAACAGAAAUGAAGGUCUUGAAAGUGAGUAUGUAGAAAAAAUGGAAGAUUUGAUACCUGCAGCCUCUCCAUUUUGUUCUGCGAUGACGCCGCAUACAUCACAUCAUCAUGGAAGAGGGCAGAUCUACAAGGCAGAAGCAGAGGAAGAAAAAAAGGAAAGGGAAGAUGAUCAAGACGAUGAAGACAGUAGACAGGAGAGAGGCAGCGAGGUUGAGUCAGAUGAUGAGUUGUAUGUUGUUAUUGCUGAGAACAAUGAAGAAGGGGAUUCAAAAGAUGCCUUGUUCUCUGACAGACCUCCACUCCCCCCUCCUCGAGCUGUGGUUUCUCCCAUUGGACUAGAAAAGCCGCAUUGUCUGUUACCAGGGAAAAUACUAGAAGAACAAAGUGCACGAAGUCAGGCCUGGUGUGAUCUUGGAAUUAAAAAAGAGACAGAGGAGGAGCUGAAAAGGGAGAUGGAAAAGAAAGAAGAGGAUGAGGAAAAAGAAGAGGAAGACCCUUAUACAUCUGUAGAAAUUGAAGAGAAUGAAUAUGACAUAAUAUUGGCCAAUGGGAGUAUGAAGAAGAAAAUAGGCAGCAGGUCCUUCAUUAUAAACAGACCUCCAGCCCCGGCCCCAAGACCAAGAAGUGUUCCCAUUAAAGAGGAGACCAUACCUUUUAUAGCUCAAGUGUUUCAGCAGAAGACCACCAGACCCCAGCAUGAUGGUGACAAGCUCCAGGCUCCUGUCAAAAAGUCAGAUAGAAUCGGAAUGGACAAUCAACGGUGUUCUGCCCUGAAGUGCUGCAUACCCUCUGGCCAAGAAGAACUCAUUCUUUUGCAGGAAAAAGUAAAAACUGGAGAAAUUUCUAUGGAUGAAGCCUUGAAGAAAUUCAAACAGUGGCAAACUGAAAAAAGUGGACUGGAAGUUAUUCAGCAGGAAAAGUUACGACAGCUCCGAGACUGCAUUAUUGGGAAGAGACCAGAAGAAGAAAACUUCUAUGAUAAAAUCACCAUUGUGCACCAUCCAGAUUUUAAAGAUACUGCCCAAAGUGAAAACAUUUCGUAUGGAACACCUGUUACCAAUAAGCUUUCCCCUCGGUUCCAGGUAGAUAAGGAGUACGGUUUCUGUUGGAGAAAAGAUAAUUAAGGAAGUAAAAUCUCAACUACAUUAUGCAGAUCAAUUAAAAAACCAAGAAGGGAAUAUUCUAAUGGAGUCUAAAGGUCUAUAAAUGGAUCAAAUCUGUGUUUGGAUUACUUGAUUUUUCAAAGGCAAGCUUAUAUUAUGGCAAAAGAAAUUUCUCUCUCAAAUUGCCCUCGGAUAUAAGAAUUGUUACUGUCCACUCCAGAGUGUAAAAAUGAACAUUUCUGUCAUUAAGACAAAGUGAUAAUAAUAGCUAGUAUUUAUAUCGGGCUUUAAGGUUUG
Vombatus ursinus (common wombat) is the source of this 2714-nucleotide RNA transcript. It is a transcript of the gene named B cell scaffold protein with ankyrin repeats 1, with no coding region annotated. NCBI's taxonomy places the organism in Eukaryota, Metazoa, Chordata, Mammalia, Diprotodontia, Vombatidae. The record is from RefSeq and is a predicted model, not a curated record. The transcript has 17 exons.